UACGUAGGGUGCGAGCGUUGUCCGGAAUUAUUGGGCGUAAAGAGCUUGUAGGCGGUUUGUCGCGUCUGCUGUGAAAAUCCGGGGCUCAACCCCGGACUUGCAGUGGGUACGGGCAGACUAGAGUGUGGUAGGGGAGACUGGAAUUCCUGGUGUAGCGGUGAAAUGCGCAGAUAUCAGGAGGAACACCGAUGGCGAAGGCAGGUCUCUGGGCCGCUACUGACGCUGAGAAGCGAAAGCGUGGGGAGCGAACAGG
RNAcentral lists this ribosomal RNA (253 nucleotides) under uncultured bacterium. RNAcentral describes it as "partial 16S ribosomal RNA". It matches the Rfam family "Bacterial small subunit ribosomal RNA", at positions 524 to 776 of the family's 1533-position model. The record is from RNAcentral.